RNAcentral lists this ribosomal RNA (468 nucleotides) under uncultured bacterium. RNAcentral's name for it is "partial 16S ribosomal RNA". It matches the Rfam family "Bacterial small subunit ribosomal RNA", at positions 28 to 507 of the family's 1533-position model. The record is from RNAcentral.
GACGAACGCUGGCGGCGUGCUUAACACAUGCAAGUCGAACGGAAAGGCCCUGCUUUUGCGGGGUUCUCGAGUGGCGAACGGGUGAGUAACACAUGAGUAACCCGCACUUAACAUUGGGAUAACUUCAGGAAACACGGGCUCAAAUCGCAUAGAAGAUCUUGCUGCAUGGUGGUGGUUGGAAAAUUUCGGCGGUUCUGGAGGUUCUAGCGGCUUAUCAGCUUGUUGGUGGGGUAGUGGCAUACCAAGGUUUUGACGGGUAGCCGGCCUGAGAGGGUUACCGGCCACAUUGGGACUGAGAUACGGCCCAGACGCCUACGGUAGGCAGAAGUGGGGAAUAUUGCAGAAUGAGCGGAAGCCUGUUGCGGCAACGCCGCGUGCGUGAUGACGUCCUUCGGGUUGUGAACCGCUUUCGCCUGUGACGAAGCGUGAGUGACGGUAAUUGGUAAGGAAGCACCGGCUAACUACGUG